CUCGAUAUUUGAUAUUAGAUCGUAUGUUAAAAGCGUGUCUUUAUAACUCGAUUUAUUAACACACCGAUUCAAACUUGAGUACAUUCGAGCUCGAGCUCAAACGCAACAUUCAUAACUCGAAGACAAAAAAAAUAAAAAAAAUCAAAUAAGUUUGAAAACAACCGUACAUUCCGCUUGAGUCGAUUCCUUUAAACAUCUUAUUAUCCUAAAACAUAUAUGCACGUAAUAGAAAUAAUAUUUGUACACAUUAAUAUUUUUUUUUUCAAUACAUUAUCAUUUAUUUUACAAAUGAUAAUAUAUUAUAGAACAUAGAAUUCCUGAAGUAAUUAGUUCAUCAUGAUGAAUCAAUUUGUAUCGCCACCAAUCGGAAGAUGGUCAAUGCCCAACAACUUGCGGUCCUGGCGACAGCCGAGGCUAGCCUGGCAACCCCUCCUAUAGGGGUUUGCAGCCACCGGCGUCGACUUUGGUACAGGUUUGUGAGUAUAUCCAAUCAUUUUGCCUCUGCCGCCUUCCGCCGGCGAUGUAAGAAACAUCGCCACCAAAAGCACCACCAACGCCAUGCUCACCAACAACUUCCUCGUCGACGUCGCCAUCGU
RNAcentral lists this long non-coding RNA (596 nucleotides) under Erythranthe guttata (spotted monkey flower). Its description in RNAcentral is "long non-coding RNA (EGUT_LNC000361)". The record is from RNAcentral. Lineage: Eukaryota; Viridiplantae; Streptophyta; Magnoliopsida; Lamiales; Phrymaceae.